RNAcentral lists this ribosomal RNA (253 nucleotides) under uncultured bacterium. Its description in RNAcentral is "partial 16S ribosomal RNA". It matches the Rfam family "Bacterial small subunit ribosomal RNA", at positions 524 to 776 of the family's 1533-position model. The record is from RNAcentral.
UACGUAGGGGGCAAGCGUUGUCCGGAUUUAUUGGGCGUAAAGAGCGUGUAGGCGGCUUUACAGGUCCGCUGUGAAAACUCGAGGCUCAACCUCGAGACGCCGGUGGAAACCGUAAAGCUAGAGUCCGGAAGAGGAGAGUGGAAUUCCUGGUGUAGCGGUGAAAUGCGCAGAUAUCAGGAGGAACACCCGUGGCGAAAGCGGCUCUCUGGGACGGUACUGACGCUGAGACGCGAAAGCGUGGGGAGCAAACAGG